RNAcentral lists this ribosomal RNA (297 nucleotides) under uncultured bacterium. RNAcentral's name for it is "partial 16S ribosomal RNA". It matches the Rfam family "Bacterial small subunit ribosomal RNA", at positions 30 to 334 of the family's 1533-position model. The record is from RNAcentral.
AUUGAACGCUGGCGGCAGGCCUAACACAUGCAAGUCGAGCGGAAACGAAGAGUAGCUUGCUACUCUGGCGUCGAGCGGCGGACGGGUGAGUAAUGCUUGGGAAUAUGCCCUUCUCUAAGGAAUAGCCUCUGGAAACGGAGAGUAAUACCUUAUACGCCCGUUUGGGGGAAAGAUUUAUCGGAGAAGGAUUAGCCCGCGUUAGAUUAGGUAGUUGGUGGGGUAAUGGCCUACCAAGCCUACGAUCUAUAGCUGGUUUGAGAGGAUGAUCAGCCACACUGGGACUGAGACACGGCCCAG